AGAGAGCUAGUCCAAUGUAAGACCUCUGAUUUCGGCUCAGAAAAUUGUGGUUAAAUCCCACAGCCCUCUU
Molecule: transfer RNA, 70 nt
Filed under: Bhavania australis (Western Ghat loach)
Lineage: Eukaryota; Metazoa; Chordata; Actinopteri; Cypriniformes; Balitoridae
Description: tRNA-Arg
Rfam family: tRNA
About the family: Transfer RNA (tRNA) molecules are approximately 80 nucleotides in length. Their secondary structure includes four short double-helical elements and three loops (D, anti-codon, and T loops). Further hydrogen bonds mediate the characteristic L-shaped molecular structure. tRNAs have two regions of fundamental functional importance: the anti-codon, which is responsible for specific mRNA codon recognition, and the 3' end, to which the tRNAs corresponding amino acid is attached (by aminoacyl-tRNA synthetases). tRNAs cope with the degeneracy of the genetic code in two manners: having more than one tRNA (with a specific anti-codon) for a particular amino acid; and 'wobble' base-pairing, i.e. permitting non-standard base-pairing at the 3rd anti-codon position.
Source: RNAcentral